ACGAGAUCGUCGUUUUUGUAGUGAUCGAAGAAGCAUUAUAGCCAGACAGUCAGUCUGCAAUCGCUAUCUGAACGCGAAUGGUAUCAGUUAACAAUUCUUCACGACUUCCUAUAUUGUUUCCUAAUUCCUAUAUUGUUUCCUAUAUUGUUUCUCUUUUCGCGGCGAUUACUGAUUGACUACGGUACUUUCAAAGAUUCGAAACAGGAAGGCGAAUUUAAAAUAGGACUUGUUUGUUUGCAGCCGAGAGAUAUGGCUCAAGUGUAUACAGGUGCAUUAGUCGUGGUGGAUGUACUCCUGACGCUCUUGAAAAUUCUUUAUUGUAUUGGUGAAGCUAUAUAUAAAUUGUUCGUACCUACGAAAGAGAAAGACGUCACAGGUGAAAUUGUUUUGAUAACUGGGACUGGUCAUGGAAUUGGAAAGGAACUUGCUCUCAAAUAUGCCUCUUUGGGAGCUACAGUGGUGUGUUGGGACCUGAAUCAAGAAAUGAAUCAAGAAACAGUAGCAGAAAUUAAAAAAAUGGGUGGAACAUCUGCUUACGCUUACAAAUGCGACGUCACGGAUAGAGAAGAAGUAUUAAGAGUUGCCGAAAGGGUUAAAGAAGAAGUAGGAAACGUUACAAUACUAAUUAACAAUGCCGGUAUAAUGCCUUGCCACUCAUUUUUGGAUUACACACCAGAAGAAAUUAGAAAAAUAUUUGACGUCAAUGUCUUGGCUCACUUUUGGGUAUUGCAGGCCUUCUUACCAAACAUGAUCACAAAAAAUCAUGGUCACAUAGUGGCACUUUCUUCAAUGGCUGGAAUAGUUGGACUGACUAAUUUGGUACCGUAUUGUGCAUCGAAAUUUGCAGUUCGAGGUUUCAUGGAAGCCCUCAGCGAAGAACUUCGAGAAUACUCUAAGGGAAAGAACUUGAAUAUAAACUUUACGACUAUUUAUCCGUACAUGGUGGAUACUGGUCUCUGUAAGAAGCCUAAGAUAAAAUUGGAUUGUUGGACUCAGGGUGGUUCACGAACAUCUUGGCGAUGCUUUCACCGAAAAAGACUGUUGAUCUAAUAGUAAGAGCACAAAGAAAGAAUUAUUCAAACAUAUCCAUCCCUAGAGCCUUGCUCCCAUUAAACACAAUGUUUAGAAAUUUGCCUGAAAAAUCAUUAAAUCAUAUAACAGAUUUCAUUGAUAGUGGCAUAGAAGUAUCGAAUUAAUGGAAUGUUGAUAAUUAUAAUGAAUUUUUCCUACGAUAAAAUUAUUCAUUAUGUUAGUAAAUUAUAUAUAUUAUUGUAUAUCAUACAUGUUUGUAUCAAUCGAAUAAUUUUUAAUGUUGUAAUCGACAUUAUGUGAAAAAAUUUAUGUAUUAUUAACUGUUAAUCUAAAAAUUUGACAAAUGCGAGAGAUU
Molecule: RNA transcript, 1387 nt
Organism: Vespa mandarinia (Asian giant hornet)
Lineage: Eukaryota; Metazoa; Arthropoda; Insecta; Hymenoptera; Vespidae
Gene name: short-chain dehydrogenase/reductase family 16C member 6-like
Source: RefSeq, a predicted model, not a curated record